GCGGAUUUGGUCGAACCACCUUGUCGGAC
This 29-nucleotide non-coding RNA is filed under the name Bombyx mori (domestic silkworm). The record is from RNAcentral. Lineage: Eukaryota; Metazoa; Arthropoda; Insecta; Lepidoptera; Bombycidae.